GCUGUAAAUUGUAAUCAUCAAAGCGUCUGCUAAAUCGCUUGGUGUUACUUCUUACAGUGA
This 60-nucleotide microRNA precursor is filed under the name Drosophila mojavensis. Its description in RNAcentral is "Dmo-Mir-971_pre stem-loop". Lineage: Eukaryota; Metazoa; Arthropoda; Insecta; Diptera; Drosophilidae. The record is from RNAcentral.